Hypoxylon sp. FL1150 is the source of this 85-nucleotide non-coding RNA. Lineage: Eukaryota; Fungi; Ascomycota; Sordariomycetes; Xylariales; Hypoxylaceae. The record is from the annotation of a GenBank genome assembly.
GGCCGGUUGGCGAAAUGGUAUCGCGUCACUUUCCGGUACAUCUGGAGUAUGGUGAAGAUUGCGGGUUCGAGUCCCGUGCUGGUCG